GGCUGGUCUCACUCCCACCGUGCCCCACCUAAAAGCACCGCCUCUGUUUCCAGGCAGUGGGCAAGCAGGGCUGAGGACCUACCCCAGACUACCUACCUCCCAGCUACAAAAGAAUAGGGCUUUAGUUCUUCCUCUGCCUGUGGAGUCUGCAGGCCAGAUUCAUGCCUUCCCCUGAGUUCUGGCCAGGAGGCUUCUGGAGUGUUUCAAAUUGUUACAAAGUUCAGCUGGAGGUUUCCUUCUCCCUGUGGCAUUUUCCCCACACCUCUGGCUUCCCUCCCAAAGGAUCCCUGUGAUGCCAGGCAGGAAUAGCCUGCUUCAGGACCCAGUCAACUUCCAGGGCCUUUCCUGGUGCUUCUUCUACCCUUGUGUUUCGCUCAGCUCUCUAAAUUGACUCAGCUACAGAGAAUCCGACAACAGCUGCUCCAGCUGACACGUAUCCAGCUACUGGUCCUGCUGAUGAUGAAGCCCCUGAUGCUGAAACCACUGCUGCUGCAACCACUGCAACCACUGCUGCUCCUACCACUGCAACCACCGCUGCUUCUACCACUGCUCGUAAAGACAUUCCAGUUUUACCCAAAUGGGUUGGGGAUCUCCCGAAUGGUAGAGUGUGUCCCUGAGAUGGAAUCAGCUUGAGUCUUCUGCAAUUGGUCACAACUAUUCAUGCUUCCUGUGAUUUCAUCCAACUACUUACCUUGCCUACGAUAUCCCCUUUAUCUCUAAUCAGUUUAUUUUCUUUCAAAUAAAAAAUAACUAUGAGCAACAUAAAAA
RNAcentral lists this long non-coding RNA (768 nucleotides) under Homo sapiens (human). Its description in RNAcentral is "HSALNT0368473". Lineage: Eukaryota; Metazoa; Chordata; Mammalia; Primates; Hominidae. The record is from RNAcentral.